This 4331-nucleotide long non-coding RNA is filed under the name Homo sapiens (human). Its description in RNAcentral is "HSALNT0084343". The record is from RNAcentral. Lineage: Eukaryota; Metazoa; Chordata; Mammalia; Primates; Hominidae.
CAGGACCAGAAUAGUCCCAUUCCCCCUAGAUAGCCAUGGCUUCUCAGCAGUUCUUUAUAGAGUUGAAGUUGGUAUCAAAGCCUCAAAGUUCUCUAUGUGUGACUGGCUGAAUGACGCCCCUCAAAGACUUCCACGUUCUAAUCCCUAGCACCUGGGAAUGUGACUUUACAUGACAAAAGGGGCUUUGCAGGUAUGAUUACAUUAAAGAUCUAAGACAGAGAGAUUAUCCAGGUGGGUUGAAUGCAAUCACAAGGGCCCUGAUAAGAGAGAAGCAUGGGGAUCAGAGUCAAAGAGGAUGUGACAAUAGAAGCAGAGGUCAGAGAGGAGAGAAGAUGCUGUCUCUUUGGAGAUGGAGGACGGGGCCGCAAGCUGAGGACUAGAGGAGGCUUCUAAAAGUCUGGAACUAAGCUGGCAAGAAUUGGGAAGAUGAAGAGAUAUGUGAUAUCAGUCAUCGUUCAUUGGCCUCGGAUCACUUGACUAUCCUGGAGGACUUAAGGGCUCCAGAAAAUUUGCAAAGGAUCUCCUGACUGCAGGGUAAGGGGAGAAUAGCGGGUGCAAUCUACUCUCAGCCCACAGUCCACACUAACUGUUCCGAGGUCAGCAUAUUUUUUUCAGUAGAGAGCCAGCUAGUAAAUAAUCUGGGCUUUGCAGACUAUGUAUACGGUCUCUGUCACAACUACUCAACUCUGCUUCUGAAGUAUGAAAACAGCCAUAGGUCAUAAGUAUACAAAUGGGUUUGGCUAUGUGCCAAUGAAACUUUAUUUACAAAAACAGGAGGCUGACCGGAUUUGGUCCAUCAGCCAUGUUUGCUGACUUUUCCAUAGCCCACCUGAUGGUAGAACAACCUGCUCCUCACGGCAUCUACUCUCUUGUGACUAAUUUGAUAAUUUGGGUCUUUGAUGCAGCCUCAAAGGUCAUAGCUCCUAGAGAUAAGCCUUCAAGUCACCACAAGCUACCUUCAUAGCUGUUCAACCUUCCCUCACUCUCCACACUAUUGAAGGGUCCUCGCCUGCUGAUGUGUCAGCUUCCCUGUUCCUAGCAAAAGCUUUGGAAUGAAAAGAAGCAAACAAAGAUGCCUGAAAAGCCCAGAACCACAACUUCUGAGUUCGUCUUCUGAUGCAGGAAUAUUACAAUUGAGAGGAAAACAGAGAUAUAGAAAUUACCAAGAAAAAUCCAGAGCUAGCCAUUAUAUCAGGAACGAAGAAGCCAGUCACUGUGCUCUGGAGAGACAAAUUGCACAUUUGACAUGCAGUCACUUUGUGUAGGAAACAUUACUUCUGAAGAGAAUGAUACCUGGUGUUCUUUAAAGUACAACAUUGGACAAACAAAAGAAAAUGGAGCUAAAUUAUUAUUGAUCACCCAAGAGUCCCUCUGAGCUUGCAGAAUGACAAAGAUUCUUUUUUGAUUAAACUUUAGUCAGGCUCCUGAACCUUCUCCUGGGCCCAUCUGUGCACUUCCUUGUAAAGUUCAGUUUAGCAAGAUCCCGGCCAAGUCAGUUUAGCAAGAACUCCCCACCCUCAUUAUCUCGUCUAUAUUUGAUCAAGAUCUUCCACCUCCACCAUUCCACAGAUAUAGUCUGAUCACCCUGGCCUGUCUUCAGUAAGAAACCCGUUAGGUCAGCUUAGCCAGAAUUCCCCUUAUCCUUGAUGUUUAUUCCUUGUAAUUUUCCAUCAACUGACCCCCACCAUGCUCCUGGGCUAGAAAUUCCCACUUGUCCAGGUUGUAUUCAGAGUUCAGCCCAAUCUCUCUCCCACACUGCAAAAUCCCAUUGCAGUAGUCCCUAUGCCUGUCGAGAUGAUCCUGAAGAAAGUCUUUCUUACCAGGUUUUAGCAGUGAUAGCAAAUAUCAUUAAAUAACUUUUCUUCUUUUUAAAUAUGUUUUUGAGACAGGGUUUUGCUUUGUCACCCAGGCUGGAGUGCAGUAAGUGUAAGUGUAAUCAUGGCUCACUGCAGCCUCGAACUCUCAGGUCCAAGCGAUGCACCCACCUCAGCCUCUGAGUAGCUAGGACUACAAUUGUGUGCCAUCAUGGCCAGCUGGUUUUAUCAUUUUUAUUUUUUUUUUUGAGAUAGGGUCUCUCUUUGUUGCCCAGACUGGUCUCGAACUCCUGGGCUCAAGUUCAACUCCUAAGGCCUCCUGCCUUAACUUCUCAAAGUGUUGGGAUUACAGGCAUGAGCCAUGCCUGGCCCAACUUUUGUUCCUUAAUAAGAGUAUAUAUAUAUAUAUAUACACUUAAUAUAUAAUAUAUACUUAAUAAGAGUAUAUAUUAUAUAUAUAUAUAUAAUUGACUGGAUGGAAUAUCACCCACUGAGGACCAGGGUUGAUCCUGCUAACUGGCUGGCUGGCUGUGCCUCCUUUCCCUCAUUACCCAAAGUGCUCCUCUCUCCAAACCACACCUGGGAAGAAAAUCAAUGUGAUUUUGUCAGCAUCCGGUGUUGCUGAUACCCCCUAGCUGCCCCCACGGUGGGAGGCACCAGAAUCCACAGUAUUCAGCGCCCCUUUCAUGGAGGAUGGCACAUCCUUGAGGAGAAUCUCGGGCUUGUCUUUGUCAAUGAGAUAUGAGUGUUCUGGAUAGAAGCUUUAAGAACCAGCACCUGCUCCUUUCCCAUCUUGAUGAUGGAAACAGGGAGACCUGGGUCACCUGAGUUCUUGGAUCGUGAAGAUGAGCAGAACCUGUGGUGCGAGGAAGACAUGCCUUUACCUGUUAGCCACUGAGAUUUUUCAAGUCAUUUUCACAACCUCGCCCUGUGAAAAUCUAUCCUUUCUAAUGCCUCACCAAUCACAACGGGAAAUGUGGAUGACUGUCUCUGUGGAUUCCGUGGACUGGUAAUGAUGACCAGUGAUAUUGAGCUCAGUUGGUGUCAAUAACUAUUAGUGACCCACUGAUUCAACCAAAAGAGGAGCUGGAGUGUCUGAGAUCUGCUCAGCUGGCAAUCCCACCGAUCAGCGUCUUAAGCCCAGACCUGGAAAUGGAGCAGUGGAUUUUAUGGGAAACAAACACUAAUAAGGUUUGAUAUAUAUAUCUCUUAUUUGAUAAUACAAUAAGGAAAUUCAGAUGCAAGAUAAACUGGGGCAGAAUGUGUCGAAAAUGAAGUAUUCUGUGCGUUAGCAGCUAGAAGGUCUACAGGAGUUAUAGGGUAGGACUGAGACAUUGAAACUGCUUCUCCAAUCUGGUGUUAGUGAGCUUUACGUGUGUCUGUGUGUGUGUGUCUUCAUAUGUAUUGUACUUUGGAGGGUAAACUUUUUAUUGAGGCAUAGAAUACACCCAGAAAUGCAUACAAACCAUAAGGAUUCACAAAUGCUACAAAUCAUAAGGAUAUGGCUCAAGGAGUUUUCACAAACUGAACACACCUUGCAACCAGAAGAAACACAGCAUUACCAGCACCAGAGGAUCCCCUGACAUCUCCUUUCCCCUGCUUGACAGUAACUACUGACUUCUAAAGCAGAUGACCUCUGCCUGCUAUGUCUGGUUUCCUUUCCUCACUGUUGUGUGUGGCAUUCAUCUGUGUUGCAUGUAGUUGUAGCUCAUUCGUUAUCACAGCUGCAUAGCAUUCGAUGUGUGAAUAUACACUGCAAUUUUUUUAUCCAUUCUGCUGCGGAUGGGCUUUUAAGUAGUUUCCAGUUUGGGUCUAUACAAACAGUGCCACUAUGAACAUUUUUACGCAUGUCUUUUGUGAACAUACUUGUUUGAUUCUGUUGGCUCUAAACCCUGGGCCACAGCCAUAUGGUGUGUUCAGCAGUGUAAGAAGGUUUCAUUGGUUCCACGUCCAUACUUUUCAUCGUUGGCACUUUAGCCAUCCUAAUGACUGUGUGGUGAUACCUUCCUGUGGUCUUAAUCACAUUUGUCUGUUGCCUCGUGGGCGUAUUUCUUUCUUCACUUUAAGUUCUGGGAUACAUGUGCAGAACGUGCAGGUUUGUUACAUAGGUAUACAUGUGCCGUGGUGGUUUGCUGCACCUAUCAAUCCAACAGCUAGGUUUUAAGCCCUGCAUGCAUUAGGUAUUUGUCCUAAUGCUCUCCCUCCCCUUGCCUCCCACCUGCCGACAGGCCCCGGUGUGUGAUGUUCUCCUCCCUGUGUCCAUUUGUUCUCAUUGUUCAAAUCUCACUUUUAAGUGAGAACAUGCUGUGUUUGGUUUUCUGCUCCUGUGUUAGUUUGCUGAGGAUGAUGGCUUACAGCUUCAUCCAUGUCCCAGCAAAGGACAUGAGUUCAUUCUUUUUUAUGGUUACAUAGUAUUCCAAGGUGUAUAUGUGCCACGUUUUCUUUAUCCAGUCUAUCAUUGAUGGGCAUAUGGGUUGGCUCCAAGUCUUUACUAUCGUUAAUAGUGCUCCAAUAAAU